UGGGGAAUAUUGCACAAUGGGGGAAACCCUGAUGCAGCGACGCCGCGUGAACGAAGAAGGUAUUCGUAUCGUAAAGUUCUGUCCUAUGGGAAGAUAAUGACAGUACCAUAGAAGAAAGCUCCGGCUAAAUACGUGCCAGCAGCCGCGGUAAUACGUAGGUGGCAAGCGUUGUCCGGAUUUAUUGGGCGUAAAGCGAGCGCAGGCGGAAGAAUAAGUCUGAUGUGAAAGCCCUCGGCUUAACCGAGGAACUGCAUCGGAAACUGUUUUUCUUGAGUGCAGAAGAGGAGAGUGGAAUUCCAUGUGUAGCGGUGGAAUGCGUAGAUAUAUGGAAGAACACCAGUGGCGAAGGCGACUCUCUGGUCUGCAACUGACGCUGAGGCUCGAAAGCAUGGGUAGCGAACAGG
This 404-nucleotide ribosomal RNA is filed under the name bacterium. RNAcentral's name for it is "partial 16S ribosomal RNA". It matches the Rfam family "Bacterial small subunit ribosomal RNA", at positions 355 to 776 of the family's 1533-position model. The record is from RNAcentral.